RNAcentral lists this ribosomal RNA (1094 nucleotides) under Clostridioides sp. ZZV14-6044. RNAcentral's name for it is "partial 23S ribosomal RNA". It matches the Rfam family "Bacterial large subunit ribosomal RNA", at positions 786 to 1898 of the family's 2925-position model. The record is from RNAcentral. Lineage: Bacteria; Bacillati; Bacillota; Clostridia; Peptostreptococcales; Peptostreptococcaceae.
GCGUUGAAAAGCUCGGGGAUGACUUGUGGGUAGCGGUGAAAUUCCAAUCGAGCCCGGAGAUAGCUGGUUCUCCCCGAAAUAGCUUUAGGGCUAGCCUCAAGGUGAGAGAUACGGAGGUAGAGCACUGAAUGUCCUAGGGGGUAUUGCACCUACCGAAGACUAUCAAACUCCGAAUGCCGUCAUCUUAUACUUGGGAGUCAGACUGUGGGUGAUAAGAUUCAUAGUCGAAAGGGCAACAGCCCAGAUCGUCAGCUAAGGUCCCUAAAUGUAAGUUAAGUGGUAAAGGAUGUGGGAUUGCACAGACAACCAGGAUGUUGGCUUAGAAGCAGCCACUCAUUCAAAGAGUGCGUAAUAGCUCACUGGUCGAGUGAUCCUGCGCCGAAGAUUUCCGGGGCUAAAACUUACUACCGAAGCUACGGCAUCAGUAAUGAUGGGUAGGGGAGCUUCCCAUACGGGUUGAAGCAUGACCGUAAGGACAUGUGGACAGUAUGGGAGUGAGAAUGUUGGCAUGAGUAGCGAGAUGUGGGUGAGAAUCCCACAGGCCGUAAACCCAAGGUUUCCAGGGGAAGGUUCGUCCGCCCUGGGUUAGUCGGGACCUAAGCUGAGGCCGAAAGGCGUAGGUGAUGGACAACAGGUUGAUAUUCCUGUACUACCGAUAACCGUUUGAGAGAUGGGAUGACACAGUAGGAUAAGCUAAGCACACUGUUGGUUAUGUGUGCCCAAGCAUUGAGGCAGUCAGAGUAGGUAAAUCCGCUUUGACAAUGCUGGGAUGUGAUGGGGAGCGAAAUUUAGUAGCGAAGUAGCUGAUUUCACACUGUCAAGAAAAGUCUCUAUCGAGGUUAAAGGUACCCGUACCGCAAACCGACACAGGUGGGUGAGGAGAGUAUCCUAAGGCCCGCGAGAGAACUGUUGUUAAGGAACUCGGCAAAAUGACCCCGUAACUUAGGGAUAAGGGGUGCCACCAUACGGUGGCCGCAGAGAAUAGGCCCAAGCGACUGUUUACCAAAAACAUAGGUUUCUGCUAAGUCGCAAGACGAUGUAUAGGAGCUGACGCCUGCCCGGUGCUGGAAGGUUAAGGGGAUCUGUUAGAGCAA